UAUUUCGUCAUUCAAUCAAAGACAACAAAUAGGAAAACAAUAAAAUUAAUAAACAGCAUCGACAAGUACGUUUUUAGUUCGCUUCAUUUCAUAUAUUUGUGUCUCGUUUUAUCUAACAAAAACAGAAAUUUUAAUUGUAUAUUUUAUUUAGAUGGUGUCAGAUUCCUCCUGCAUGGCCAUGUGCAAAUAAAAUUGGCAGCUCUUCACAUGGUCAAAACACAACUAUAUUCUUAUUAAAACUGUCACAUUGUCAUUGUAAAAUUUACCUUGUAAAUUCGACUUUCACUAACAAAAACUAUUGAGAAAGUUCUUUAACCACAACAGUUGCUCCUUCUCCUUACCUUACAAUAAGUCUAUUUCUCUUCGUUUUGAAUAGUUUGAAAG
Molecule: non-coding RNA, 384 nt
Organism: Paramuricea clavata
Lineage: Eukaryota; Metazoa; Cnidaria; Anthozoa; Malacalcyonacea; Plexauridae
Source: the annotation of a GenBank genome assembly